UGGGGAAUCUUGGACAAUGGGGGCAACCCUGAUCCAGCCAUGCCGCGUGAGUGAUGAAGGCCUUAGGGUCGUAAAGCUCUUUCGCCUGUGAAGAUAAUGACGGUAGCAGGUAAAGAAACCCCGGCUAACUCCGUGCCAGCAGCCGCGGUAAUACGGAGGGGGUUAGCGUUGUUCGGAAUUACUGGGCGUAAAGCGCACGUAGGCGGACCAGAAAGUUGGGGGUGAAAUCCCGGGGGCUCAACCCCGGAACUGCCUCCAAAACUAUUGGUCUAGAGUUCGAGAGAGGUGAGUGGAAUUCCAAGUGUAGAGGUGAAAUUCGUAGAUAUUUGGAGGAACACCAGUGGCGAAGGCGGCUCACUGGCUCGAUACUGACGCUGAGGUGCGAAAAGUGUGGGGAGCAAACAGGAUUAGAUACCCUGGUAGUCCACACCGUAAAACGAUGAAUGCCAGUCGUCGGGUAGCAUGCUAUUCGGUGACACACCUAACGGAUUAAGCAUUCCGCCUGGGGA
Molecule: ribosomal RNA, 509 nt
Filed under: uncultured bacterium
Lineage: Bacteria
Description: bacterial SSU rRNA
Rfam family: Bacterial small subunit ribosomal RNA
Source: RNAcentral